This is a long non-coding RNA of Meriones unguiculatus (Mongolian gerbil), 266 nucleotides long. RefSeq lists it as uncharacterized. Lineage: Eukaryota; Metazoa; Chordata; Mammalia; Rodentia; Muridae. The record is from RefSeq and is a predicted model, not a curated record. The transcript is spliced from 3 exons.
GGAGUCUAGACCCCUAGAGUACAGAACAAUAACCGUCACAAAUUUCAUCUAUCCUUGAUCCUCUGGCAUGGAUACUAAGAGAGCCACCCAUGCGUUUUCACUUCCUUGCUAAGACUUGGAGAGGUGCUUCCCUUCUAGCAGGACAGGUGUGGAACCCAAAGGAAGAUGAUAGGGUGUUAGGAGUCUAGAACCCUAGAGCACAGAACAAUAACCCUCACAAAUUUCAUCUAUCAUUGAUCCUCUGGCGUGGAUACUAAGAGAGCAAC